GACGAACGCUGGCGGCGUGCUUAACACAUGCAAGUCGAACGGAAAGGCCCUGCUUUUGUGGGGUGCUCGAGUGGCGAACGGGUGAGUAACACGUGAGUAACCUGCCCUUGACUUUGGGAUAACUUCAGGAAACUGGGGCUAAUACCGGAUAGGAGCUCCUGCUGCAUGGUGGGGGUUGGAAAGUUUCGGCGGUUGGGGCUGGACUCGCGGCUUAUCAGCUUGUUGGUGGGGUAGUGGCUUACCAAGGCUUUGACGGGUAGCCGGCCUGAGAGGGUGACCGGCCACAUUGGGCCUGAGAUACGGCCCAGACUCCUACGGGAGGCAGCAGUGGGGAAUAUUGCACAAUGGGCGGAAGCCUGAUGCAGCAACGCCGCGUGCGGGAUGCCGGCCUUCGGGUUGUAAACCGCUUUCGCCUGUGACGAAGCGUGAGUGACGGUAAUGGGUAAAGAAGCACCGGCUAACUACGUG
Molecule: ribosomal RNA, 468 nt
Filed under: uncultured bacterium
Lineage: Bacteria
Description: partial 16S ribosomal RNA
Rfam family: Bacterial small subunit ribosomal RNA
Source: RNAcentral